This 75-nucleotide transfer RNA is filed under the name Mahurea exstipulata. RNAcentral's name for it is "tRNA-His". It matches the Rfam family "tRNA". From Rfam's summary of the family: Transfer RNA (tRNA) molecules are approximately 80 nucleotides in length. Their secondary structure includes four short double-helical elements and three loops (D, anti-codon, and T loops). The record is from RNAcentral. Lineage: Eukaryota; Viridiplantae; Streptophyta; Magnoliopsida; Malpighiales; Calophyllaceae.
GCGGAUGUAGCCAAGUGGAUCAAGGCAAUGGAUUGUGAAUCCAUGAUGCGCGGGUUCAAUUCCCGUCGUUCGCCC